RNAcentral lists this ribosomal RNA (546 nucleotides) under uncultured Glomeromycotina. RNAcentral describes it as "SSU rRNA". It matches the Rfam family "Eukaryotic small subunit ribosomal RNA", at positions 548 to 1097 of the family's 1831-position model. Lineage: Eukaryota; Fungi; Glomeromycota. The record is from RNAcentral.
UUGGAGGGCAAGUCUGGUGCCAGCAGCCGCGGUAAUUCCAGCUCCAAUAGCGUAUAUUAAAGUUGUUGCAGUUAAAAAGCUCGUAGUUGAAUUUCGGGAUUAGUGCGCCGGUCGUGCCUUCGGUAUGUACUGGUGUUACUGGUUCCUACCUUCUGACGAACCGUCAUGUCAUUAAUUUGGUGUGGCGGGGAAUCAGGACUGUUACUUUGAAAAAAUUAGAGUGUUUAAAGCAGGCUCGCGCUUGAAUACAUUAGCAUGGAAUAAUGAAAUAGGACGUUCGAUCCUAUUUUGUUGGUUUCUAGGAUUGACGUAAUGAUUAAUAGGGAUAGUUGGGGGCAUUAGUAUUCAAUUGUCAGAGGUGAAAUUCUUGGAUUUAUUGAAGACUAACUACUGCGAAAGUAUUUGCCAAGGAUGUUUUCAUUAAUCAAGAACGAAAGUUAGGGGAUCGAAGACGAUCAGAUACCGUCGUAGUCUUAACCAUAAACUAUGCCGACUAGGGAUCGGAUGAUGUUAUUUUUAAUGACUCAUUCGGCGCCUUACGGGAAA